Molecule: unclassified non-coding RNA, 378 nt
Filed under: uncultured Parachlamydiaceae bacterium
Lineage: Bacteria; Pseudomonadati; Chlamydiota; Chlamydiia; Parachlamydiales; Parachlamydiaceae
Description: contains 16S-23S intergenic spacer region
Source: RNAcentral
UCCUGGUUAACCCAGGCAGUCUCAUUAGAGUUCCCACCAUUACGUGUUGGCAACUAAUGAUAAGGGUUGCGCUCGUUGCGGGACUUAACCCAACACCUCACGGCACGAGCUGACGACAGCCAUGCAGCACCUGUGCAGCGGCCCCGAAGGGCUUUAACAUUUCUGCUAAAUUCCACUGCAUGUCAAGUCUGGGUAAGGUUCUUCGCGUUGCAUCGAAUUAAACCACAUGCUCCACUGCUUGUGCGGGUCCCCGUCAAUUCUUUUGAGUUUCACCCUUGCGAGCGUACUCCCCAGGCGGUAUACUUAUCGCGUUAGCUUCGGCACAACCAGGGUUGAUUCCGGUUACACCAAGUAUACAUUGUUUACGGCAAGGACUAC